Molecule: ribosomal RNA, 468 nt
Filed under: uncultured bacterium
Lineage: Bacteria
Description: partial 16S ribosomal RNA
Rfam family: Bacterial small subunit ribosomal RNA
Source: RNAcentral
GACGAACGCUGGCGGCGUGCUUAACACAUGCAAGUCGAACGGAAAGGCCCUGCUUUUGUGGGGUGCUCGAGUGGCGAACGGGUGAGUAACACGUGAGUAACCUGCCCUUGACUUUGGGAUAACUUCAGGAAACUGGGGCUAAUACCGGAUAGGAGCUCCUGCUGCAUGGUGGGGGUUGGAAAGUUUCGGCGGUUGGGGAUGGACGCGCGGCUUAUCAGCUUGUUGGUGGGGUAGUGGCUUACCAAGGCUUUGACGGGUAGCCGGCCUGAGAGGGUAACCGGCCACAUUGGGACUGAGAUACGGCCCAGACUCCUACGGGAGGCAGCAGUGGGGAAUAUUGCACAGUGGGCGGAAGCCUGAUGCAGCAACGCCGCGUGCGGAAUGACGGCCUUCGGGUUGUAAACCGCUUUCGCCUGUGACGAAGCGUGAGUGACGGUAAUGGGUAAAGAAGCACCGGCUAACUACGUG